Acanthosepion pharaonis is the source of this 109-nucleotide non-coding RNA. The record is from the annotation of a GenBank genome assembly. NCBI's taxonomy places the organism in Eukaryota, Metazoa, Mollusca, Cephalopoda, Sepiida, Sepiidae.
GGCCAUAUCACAUUGAAACAUGAUUUCAGUACGAUCACCGUAGUUAAGCAGCAUCGAGCCUGAUCAGUAUCUAGAUGGUUGACCGCUUGGGAAUACCAGGUGCUGUAAG